This 253-nucleotide ribosomal RNA is filed under the name uncultured bacterium. RNAcentral's name for it is "partial 16S ribosomal RNA". It matches the Rfam family "Bacterial small subunit ribosomal RNA", at positions 524 to 776 of the family's 1533-position model. The record is from RNAcentral.
UACAGGGGGUGCAAACGUUGCUCGGAAUUAUUGGGCGUAAAGCGCGCGUAGGCGGUCUUGUAAGUCGGAUGUGAAGGCCCUUGGCUUAACCGAGGAAGUGCAUCCGAAACUGCAAGGCUUGAGUACGAAAGAGGAUCGCGGAAUUCCCGGUGUAGAGGUGAAAUUCGUAGAUAUCGGGAGGAACACCGGCGGCGAAGGCGGCGAUCUGGGUCGAGACUGACGCUGAGGCGCGAAAGCGUGGGGAGCAAACAGG